Non-coding RNA from Ceratotherium simum simum (southern white rhinoceros), 133 nucleotides. NCBI's taxonomy places the organism in Eukaryota, Metazoa, Chordata, Mammalia, Perissodactyla, Rhinocerotidae. The record is from RefSeq and is a predicted model, not a curated record.
CCGGAUGUCUCUGGAGGGGAACAGACCCUUCCUGACCCUCACGGCAGCUCCCCGAGAUUCAGAGGGUCGAUGUCGGUUUUGACGGGGAGGGAAGGAAGAGACUGGGAAAAGGUCCAGGGCGGGAGUGAGGGAG